Molecule: ribosomal RNA, 374 nt
Filed under: uncultured organism
Description: partial 16S ribosomal RNA
Rfam family: Bacterial small subunit ribosomal RNA
Source: RNAcentral
GGAGGGAGCGAGCGUUGUUCGGAAUCACUGGGCGUAAAGGGCGCGUAGGCGGCCGAGUAAGUCGUGUGUGAAAGACCGGGGCUCAACUCCGUGUACUGCAUGCGAUACUGCCCGGCUGGAGAAAGGUAGAGGCGAGUGGAAUUCCCGGUGUAGCGGUGGAAUGCGUAGAUAUCGGGAAGAACACCUGUGGCGAAGGCGGCUCGCUGGGCCUUUUCUGACGCUGAAGUGCGAAAGCGUGGGGAGCAAACAGGAUUAGAUACCCUGGUAGUCCACGCCGUAAACGAUGGGCACUAGGCGUUGGGAGGAUUGACCCUCUCAGUGCCGUAGCUAACGCGUUAAGUGCCCCCGGCCUGGGGAUACGGCCGCAAAGGCUG